Molecule: ribosomal RNA, 414 nt
Filed under: uncultured bacterium
Lineage: Bacteria
Description: bacterial SSU rRNA
Rfam family: Bacterial small subunit ribosomal RNA
Source: RNAcentral
GAUGAACGCUGGCGGCGUGCUUAACACAUGCAAGUCGAACGGAACUCCUGUGACUGAGGUUUCGGCCAAAUGAUCAGGAUGUUUAGUGGCGGACGGGUGAGUAACGCGUGAGUAACCUGCCUUGGAGUGGGGAAUAACACAGUGAAAAUUGUGCUAAUACCGCAUAAUGUGUCUGAACCGCAUGAUUCUGGACACCAAAGAUUUAUCGCUCUGAGAUGGACUCGCGUCUGAUUAGCUAGUUGGCGGGGCAACGGGCCCACCAAGGCGACGAUCAGUAGCCGGACUGAGAGGUUGGCCGGCCACAUUGGGACUGAGACACGGCCCAGACUCCUACGGGAGGCAGCAGUGGGGAAUAUUGGGCAAUGGGCGCAAGCCUGACCCAGCAACGCCGCGUGAAGGAAGAAGGCUUUCGGG